UAAAAAUUUUAGACCCCUAAAAAAAUCCCAUCUCACUUAUUUAACCCCUAAAUCUGGGGGGAAAACCCCUAAGUUGGGAACACUGGAUGUUCUUUAAAAAAA
Molecule: long non-coding RNA, 102 nt
Organism: Aricia agestis (brown argus)
Lineage: Eukaryota; Metazoa; Arthropoda; Insecta; Lepidoptera; Lycaenidae
Exons: 3
Source: RefSeq, a predicted model, not a curated record